AUUGAACGCUGGCGGCAUGCUUUACACAUGCAAGUCGAACGGCAGCGCGGGCUUCGGCCUGGCGGCGAGUGGCGAACGGGUGAGUAAUACAUCGGGACGUGCCCAGUAGUGGGGGAUAGCUCGGCGAAAGCCGGAUUAAUACCGCAUACGACCUGAGGGUGAAAGCGGGGGAUCUUCGGACCUCGCGCUAUUUGAGCGGCCGAUGGCAGAUUAGCUAGUUGGUGGGGUAAAGGCCUACCAAGGCGACGAUCUGUAGCUGGUCUGAGAGGACGACCAGCCACACUGGGACUGAGACACGGCCCAGACUCCUACGGGAGGCAGCAGUGGGGAAUUUUGGACAAUGGGCGAAAGCCUGAUCCAGCAAUGCCGCGUGUGUGAUGAAGGCCUUCGGGUUGUAAAGCACUUUUGGCGGGAACGAAAAGGACUGUGCCAAUACCACGGUUCGAUGACGGUACCCGCAGAAUAAGCACCGGCUAACUACGUG
This 484-nucleotide ribosomal RNA is filed under the name uncultured bacterium. RNAcentral describes it as "partial 16S ribosomal RNA". It matches the Rfam family "Bacterial small subunit ribosomal RNA", at positions 29 to 507 of the family's 1533-position model. The record is from RNAcentral.